CGAGCGCUCGUGUGUGUCUUUCAGUGUGCCGAAAUAUUACCGUCCACGUAUUUCAUCUAUGUUAUCUCAAUGAUGUUCCUGCAUCCUGAUAGAUCCUAGCGUCUUUGAGUCAUUUUAGGAUGACACACCAUCUCCCUCUCUCCAUGUUUCAGGGUCUGUCGAUGAUGGUUGCCGUAGAGAUCAAUAGAUCCUGCGGAGGACCGCAUGGGUUCCAAAGAUAAACCAGAGCCCAACGGCCCGAGGAUGAAAGCCUUUCCUUCACCCCGCCAGUAUAACGGCCUUUCGGCGGACACUCACUCACACUCUGACAGGAAACACAUGAAACAGGGAAAUCCUUCGCAACUGCAGCACAGUCUUCAGAUGGAAAGGCUUCCAGGACUGUCUGGCUGUUGGAGGCAAACUUGUGGAGCCUGAGGUUUGACUCAGCCAGUGACAUCUGUGUUCUGCUCAACAAGCUGAUGGCUUCGGCAUCAGACGACGCAGAACAAAGGCCGUCGUCCACAUAGAAGCGGCGUUUAACGAAGUUGACUGUGUCGGACCCAUGUUCUCGUGCACCCUCUCUAAUUGCUCUCCUCCGUAGAUGGCUACAGCUGGGGACGGACUGUUGCCGAAAACAUGAACUUUCAUUCUGUAGUCUAUGAUUUCUUUUGUCACGUCAUUGUCCCGGUACCACAGGAAUCUCAGAUAAUUUCUGUGGUCCUCCUGCACCAAAAAGCAGUGAAACAACUGCUGUAUGCCUGCCAAGAUGGCAACCUUUUCCUUACGGAACCGCAUCAGAACUCCGAGGAGAGAAUUGCUAGCACGGUUGUCUUAGGGGUUAAGAUCACAGAUCCGAACCCUUUCAUGAAUAUAUCCUUUAAGACUCUCGGGUUUCAAACUCUGCUGCAGGCUUGUUAUUCGCUGGUCUCAACAUUUGGAUGAUAUGGCGUCGAAUUAAUGCGGGACAAAAAAAGUUGUCUGUGGAAGUAAAAAUAAAUAAAUGAAAAUGUUUAAAAAAAAGACCUGCGUUAAGAACAGCGUAAGAACAUUCUCCAACGCUCAUGGGGUAAUGGAUAGAGACAGUUCAAAGUUGUGCUGGUGCUAUCACUGCCAAAUUUGUCCCCAUCAUCUUCUGGUUUUCUACAAGAAAUGGGAAUGGGAAGCAGAUGAGCCGCUGUCCCUGCUGGCCAUUCUGACCAACAAUGCAACGGUGCAACAGCCGUGCCCGUUGGGUAACCCCUGCUUGCAGUCUUCUGGAUGAAAUAAACAUGUGUGUGUUGUCCUCACUGCAGUGUAGCAACUGCAGCUAUACAACUAGUUAAACUCUUCCUUAUAAAUGAAGACGUGAGUCGUAGUAAGCUUUAGUUGCUCUUUACUGUGGCUCUUUCUCUCAUUGUACAAGGUCAGAGUGAAAACUGUAACAAGACAAAUACGAAAAUUACCAUUUAGCUCUGUAACAGGUGCUUUCCACAUGUAAAUAAAUGUAAAUAAAACGUUUUUA
Gadus morhua (Atlantic cod) is the source of this 1480-nucleotide long non-coding RNA. RefSeq lists it as uncharacterized. NCBI's taxonomy places the organism in Eukaryota, Metazoa, Chordata, Actinopteri, Gadiformes, Gadidae. The transcript is spliced from 2 exons. The record is from RefSeq and is a predicted model, not a curated record.